Molecule: ribosomal RNA, 584 nt
Filed under: Oxalobacteraceae bacterium RDB-068
Lineage: Bacteria; Pseudomonadati; Pseudomonadota; Betaproteobacteria; Burkholderiales; Oxalobacteraceae
Description: bacterial SSU rRNA
Rfam family: Bacterial small subunit ribosomal RNA
Source: RNAcentral
ACGGGUGAGUAAUACAUCGGAACGUACCCAGAAGUGGGGGAUAACGUAGCGAAAGUUACGCUAAUACCGCAUACGUUCUACGGAAGAAAGUGGGGGACCUUCGGGCCUCAUGCUUUUGGAGCGGCCGAUGUCUGAUUAGCUAGUUGGUGAGGUAAAGGCUCACCAAGGCGACGAUCAGUAGCUGGUCUGAGAGGACGACCAGCCACACUGGGACUGAGACACGGCCCAGACUCCUACGGGAGGCAGCAGUGGGGAAUUUUGGACAAUGGGCGCAAGCCUGAUCCAGCAAUGCCGCGUGAGUGAAGAAGGCCUUCGGGUUGUAAAGCUCUUUUGUCAGGGAAGAAACGGCUGAGGCUAAUACCUUUGGCUAAUGACGGUACCUGAAGAAUAAGCACCGGCUAACUACGUGCCAGCAGCCGCGGUAAUACGUAGGGUGCAAGCGUUAAUCGGAAUUACUGGGCGUAAAGCGUGCGCAGGCGGUUUUGUAAGUCUGACGUGAAAUCCCCGGGCUUAACCUGGGAAUUGCGUUGGAGACUGCAAGGCUGGAGUCUGGCAGAGGGGGGUAGAAUUCCACGUGUAGCAGU